GGAGAAUUAUAAACUCGGUGGAAUAAGUCGGCCAUUUCGCUAUUCUCUCGGUCUAGCAUUAAUUGUACAAAAGAGAAGAAAUCGUCGGAAGUUGAUACAAGACUCGUGAGAAUAUCCGCUGAGACUAUUAUGUAUACGACAGCUAGUAAGUAGUCUUCGCAAUAUCUUACCAGAAAAGCGGUUGUUACCACGGUUUCAGUACCAAGUCGAACCAACAUGGCGACGUCUGGGGAGACGAGGAACGAAAGCUUCUGUUGCGGUACAUGUUACACGUAUUACAACCGAAUCGAAGAUGCUGUUAACUGCAGGUGUGCAUCACAAGGUGCACAACAUGGUACAGCUACAGUAGUAGUAUCAUCACAGUCUUUAUUAGCUGAUGAUCAUAUUAGAAGUAAGUACAAAUUAUUAUUUAACUUUCAUUUAUGUUUACCUUAGUAAAAAAUAAUAGCUGAAAUGAAUACUUUCAAUUUAUUAAAUUUAAUUAACGUCCAGUAUUUAUUUAUUUAACAAUAUUCUUAAAUAAUAAACCUACACAAAGUUCAC
RNAcentral lists this long non-coding RNA (543 nucleotides) under Androctonus crassicauda. Lineage: Eukaryota; Metazoa; Arthropoda; Arachnida; Scorpiones; Buthidae. The record is from RNAcentral.